CAGAAAAUAGUUUAUGUAAAAUAUUAAUUUUGGAGAUUAAUGAAAAGAGGUUUCUUUUUUCUGA
Phlebotomus papatasi is the source of this 64-nucleotide non-coding RNA. The record is from the annotation of a RefSeq genome assembly. Lineage: Eukaryota; Metazoa; Arthropoda; Insecta; Diptera; Psychodidae.